UACGAAGGGUGCAAGCGUUACUCGGAAUUACUGGGCGUAAAGGGUGCGUAGGUGGUUUUUUAAGUCCGUUGUGAAAUCCCUGGGCUCAACCUGGGAAUGGCAGUGGAUACUGGAAAGCUAGAGUGCGGUAGAGGGUAGUGGAAUUCCCGGUGUAGCAGUGAAAUGCGUAGAGAUCGGGAGGAACACCGGUGGCGAAGGCGGGUCUCUGGGCCGAUACUGACGCUGAGGAGCGAAAGCGUGGGGAGCGAGCAGG
RNAcentral lists this ribosomal RNA (253 nucleotides) under uncultured bacterium. RNAcentral describes it as "partial 16S ribosomal RNA". It matches the Rfam family "Bacterial small subunit ribosomal RNA", at positions 524 to 776 of the family's 1533-position model. The record is from RNAcentral.